UGUGAUGAAGGCCUUUGGUACUGUUGG
This 27-nucleotide non-coding RNA is filed under the name Mus musculus (house mouse). The record is from RNAcentral. Lineage: Eukaryota; Metazoa; Chordata; Mammalia; Rodentia; Muridae.